Molecule: ribosomal RNA, 433 nt
Filed under: uncultured bacterium
Lineage: Bacteria
Description: partial 16S ribosomal RNA
Rfam family: Bacterial small subunit ribosomal RNA
Source: RNAcentral
AGCGAACGCUGGCGGCAGGCCUAACACAUGCAAGUCGAACGGAUCCUUCGGGAUUAGUGGCGGACGGGUGAGUAACACGUGGGAACGUGCCCUUUGGUUCGGAACAACUCAGGGAAACUUGAGCUAAUACCGGAUGUGCCCUUCGGGGGAAAGAUUUAUCGCCAUUGGAGCGGCCCGCGUCUGAUUAGCUAGUUGGUGAGGUAACGGCCCACCAAGGCGACGAUCAGUAGCUGGUCUGAGAGGAUGAUCAGCCACACUGGGACUGAGACACGGCCCAGACUCCUACGGGAGGCAGCAGUGGGGAAUCUUGCGCCAUGGGCGAAAGCCUGACGCAGCCAUGCCGCGUGAAUGAUGAAGGUCUUAGGAUUGUAAAAUUCUUUCAGCGGGGACGAUAAUGACGGUACCCGCAGAAGAAGCUCCGGCUAACUUCGUG